CAUCUCACAGGAUGCGCACGGGGAACGGAAGGGGUGUUUUGCCCUGACACUGGAACAAGAGCAAGUUUUGAGGACCUGAAUAUAAGCUGUGGAAGCUGCCUCAAUGUAAGGAAAAGGAAAGAAGAAAAUCCCAACCAUUCAUAUUUCUAAAGGAGAAAAAUUUCUUGGUGCAGCUUGCCUGGUGAUUGCAUUCAGUCGAGCAGUAUAGAGGGACCCAAUCCAGAUGUCUGCUAGAAAUCUUCUGCUGGAUGUUACAGAUGCAUUUAGGAAUCUCCAGCAUAGCAAGAUCUGGUAGAGCAUAACUACAGUCUCCCUGCCUCUCCUAGGUGCCCAUGCAGAAAUCCCCCAUAAGCCUCCACAAAACAUCUGCUUGUGCCACUGUUUGGCAGCACAUAUUCAUUCCACAAUUCUUGCUACCAAUGUAUUGUUUAGGCAUUCUUCUUAUGGGUGGUCAAUGGCAUUUUCAUGCAAGUCACUCUAUGUCUGUAAUUCUAAAGAGGACAUUGCUUAGUUCAAACUUUCUGAGAAGAACAUUCCUAAUAAAUUCUGAAAAAGUGUAAGUCUUUCCUUUAUCAAAAAUCUCACUUUGUGCUGGUAUAAGUGUUGUUUUGUUUGGGGGGGGUGUGAGAUUGUUUUUUUUAGACCUUUUUAGUUACCUUAUAGUGAGCAUUCUUGCUCUGUUAUCAUACGCAGUAGGGUUUAGAACAGUGAAUGCUAUUCAACUUAAUAUUUAUAAAAACGUGCUUCUUGAGUAGUUCCUCAUUCAAUUUUAAGGUUACACAGGCAGAACAUAUCAUACAGUUGGGCUGAAUAUAAUAUCCACUGAACUGCUUGUGAGAUACAGGAUCAGAACCUCACCAAGUUAUUGAUAUGGGUCAGAACCAACUCACUGUCACUGUGUGUGUGCGUGUGGGGAAGGGCUGGCCCCAGACCUGCAGGAACAUGGUAAGGCCUGCAACAUAAGGCCUGUUGAGGGCACAGGGCAGAGCCGGAA
Neopelma chrysocephalum (saffron-crested tyrant-manakin) is the source of this 994-nucleotide long non-coding RNA. RefSeq lists it as uncharacterized. The record is from RefSeq and is a predicted model, not a curated record. The transcript has 4 exons. Lineage: Eukaryota; Metazoa; Chordata; Aves; Passeriformes; Pipridae.